This 312-nucleotide long non-coding RNA is filed under the name Vigna radiata. RNAcentral describes it as "long non-coding RNA (VRAD_LNC007988)". The record is from RNAcentral. Lineage: Eukaryota; Viridiplantae; Streptophyta; Magnoliopsida; Fabales; Fabaceae.
AAGUUUUCGUUCGUGAGAGAGAAAGGAGAGAAAAAGGAAAGAGAAAGGGCCGCAAAUUAUUUUAGGUUCGUGAGAGAGAAAGGAAAGAAAAAGUAGAGUGGACUGGAGAAAGCAUAAUGGACUGAAAAUGGUUUUAGGUUCAAUAAAAUAAAAAUUAAAUAAUAAAUUACUUCUAAAAUCUAUUAUCCGGAGUCAACUUCUUUUAGUAAAUAAUCACUACUAACAAAAGUCAAAUUUUGGUUUUUUGAUAACUAAGUUCUAACCUGCGUUUUCGUAAAAUUCACUCAAAACAAUAGUCAUAUUUCGAUUUAC